RNAcentral lists this ribosomal RNA (305 nucleotides) under uncultured bacterium. Its description in RNAcentral is "bacterial SSU rRNA". It matches the Rfam family "Bacterial small subunit ribosomal RNA", at positions 337 to 659 of the family's 1533-position model. The record is from RNAcentral.
ACCUACGGGAGGCAGCAGUGGGGGAUAUUGCACAAUGGGGGAAACCCUGAUGCAGCAACGCCGCGUGAGUGAAGAAGGUCUUCGGAUUGUAAAGCUCUGUUCUUGGUGAAGAUAAUGACGGUAGCCAAGGAGAAAGCUCCGGCUAACUACGUGCCAGCAGCCGCGGUAAUACGUAGGGAGCGAGCGUUGUCCGGAUUUACUGGGUGUAAAGGGUGCGCAGGCGGCUCUGCAAGUCAGGCGUGAAAGCUAGGGGCUCAACCCCUAAACUGCGCUUGGAACUGCGUGGCUAGAGUGCAGGAGGGGCA